RNAcentral lists this long non-coding RNA (1447 nucleotides) under Chrysolophus pictus (golden pheasant). RNAcentral's name for it is "lncRNA (ENSCPIG00010008255.1)". The record is from RNAcentral. Lineage: Eukaryota; Metazoa; Chordata; Aves; Galliformes; Phasianidae.
CCCAGUGCCCACCCCUGUGUGCCCAGUGCCCAUCCCUGUGUGCCCAUGGCCCUGAUCCCCAUCCCUGUGUGCCCAUGGCCCCAGUGCCCAUCCCUGUAUCCCCAGUGCCCACCCCUGUGUGCCCACGUCCCUGUGUCCCCAUGUCCCCAAUCCCCAUCCCUGUGUCCCCACAUCCCUGUGUGCCCACGUCCCUGCGUCCCCGUGUCCCCAAUCCCCAUCCCUGUGUCCCCACAUCCCUGUAUCCUCCUGUCCCCACGUCCCACAUCCCACAUCCCCAUGUCCCCACAUCCCCAUGUCCCCACUCCCCAUCCCCCCAUCCCUAUGUCCCUGAGUCCUCAUGUCCCCACGUCCCACAUCCCCAUGUCCCGUGUCCCCAAUCCCCAUCCCCAUGUCCCCAUGUCCCUGUGUCCUCAUGUCCCCACGUCCCAUGUCCCCAUACCUCACAGCCCCAUGUCCCCAUGUCCCCAAUCCCCAUCCUCGUGUCCCCACAUCCCCACAUCCCACAUCCCCACGUUCCCACACCCCCGUGUCCCCAAUCCCCAUCCCUGUGUCCCCACGUCCCUGAGUCCUCCUGUCCCCACGUCCCACAUCCCCACAUCCCACAUCCCCACAUCCCUGUGUCCCCAUGUCCCCAAUCCCCAUCCCCAUGUCCCUAUGUCCCUGAGUCCUCCUGUCCCCACAUCCCACAGCCCCAUGUCCCCAUGUCCCCACAUCCCAGAGUCCCCACGUCUUCAUGCCCCCAUGCCUCACAUCCCCCUGUACCCACAUCCCUGUGUCCCCACAUCCCCAUGUCACUGUGUCCCACAUCCCACAUUCCAUGGCCCCACAUCCCAAUGUCCCCAGGUCCCUCGUCCCCCUGUCCCAUCUCACAUCCCCCUGUGUCCCCAAGUCCUACACCCACGUCACCACAUCCCAUGUCCCCACAUCCCACAUCCCCAUACCUCACAUCCAUGCGUCCCCAUGUCCCCACAUCCCACAUCUAACGCCCCACAUCCCUGUGUCCCCAUGCCCCCAUAUCCCAUGUCCCUGUGUCUCCACAUCCCCAUGUCCCCACACCCGUGUUCCUACAUCCCCAUGUCUCCAUGUCCCUGUGUCCCCACAUCUCACAUCCCAUGUCCCCAUGUCCCCAUGUCCCCACAUCCCAUGUCCCUGUGUCCCCAUGUCCCCACAUCCCACGUUCCUGUAUCCCUAUAUCCCUAUAUCCCCUCAUUCCAUGUCCCUGUGUCCCCAUAUCCCCUCAUCCCAUGUCUCUUGUACCCACACCCCAUAUCCCCACAUCCCCGUGUCCCCACCCCACCUUCAUCGAUGAGUGACUCCACGGACAGCGUGCGGUUCCGGACGUUCAGGGAGUCGGUGGACUGGGACAGAAUGCGGCGGAUCCCCAGCGCAGAUUCGUCUGUGAACGUCCUGGGGGGGGGNNNNNNNNNNNNNNNNNNNNNNNNNNNNN